UGGGGAAUAUUGCACAAUGGGGGAAACCCUGAUGCAGCGACGCCGCGUGAACGAAGAAGGUAUUCGUAUCGUAAAGUUCUGUCCUAUGGGAAGAUAAUGACAGUACCAUAGAAGAAAGCUCCGGCUAAAUACGUGCCAGCAGCCGCGGUAAUACGUAUGGAGCGAGCGUUGUCCGGAAUUAUUGGGCGUAAAGGGUACGCAGGCGGUUUAAUAAGUCGAAUGUUAAAGAUCGGGGCUCAACCCCGCAAAGCAUUGGAAACUGAUAAACUUGAGUAGUGGAGAGGAAAGUGGAAUUCCUAGUGUAGUGGUGAAAUACGUAGAUAUUAGGAGGAAUACCAGUAGCGAAGGCGACUUUCUGGACACAAACUGACGCUGCGGUACGAAAGCGUGGGGAGCAAACAGG
This 403-nucleotide ribosomal RNA is filed under the name bacterium. RNAcentral's name for it is "partial 16S ribosomal RNA". It matches the Rfam family "Bacterial small subunit ribosomal RNA", at positions 355 to 776 of the family's 1533-position model. The record is from RNAcentral.